AGGCUUAUAAAUUGGCCAUUGAAGAUUUAACUAAAGCAGCUGAGCUGGAUCCAUCUUGUUCACUAGCCUAUUACAACAGAGGAGCUUGCUACCAUCAGAUCAAGAUGUAUGAGAAGGCUCUUAUAGAUUACAGUAUUGUAAUUCUCCUUGGAGGGCAGAAGGAGGUUGAUAAUAAAGUUCUCAUGAACCGUGGCUUGCUUUACCUGGAACUUGAUGAUUAUGCCAAUGCAUUGCAGGACUUUAUGGCUCUAGCUAGGAAAACGCCUGGA
Long non-coding RNA from Bombina bombina (fire-bellied toad), 269 nucleotides. RefSeq lists it as uncharacterized. The transcript has 3 exons. The record is from RefSeq and is a predicted model, not a curated record. NCBI's taxonomy places the organism in Eukaryota, Metazoa, Chordata, Amphibia, Anura, Bombinatoridae.